RNAcentral lists this long non-coding RNA (1713 nucleotides) under Canis lupus familiaris (dog). RNAcentral's name for it is "lncRNA (ENSCAFG00000053102.1)". The record is from RNAcentral. Lineage: Eukaryota; Metazoa; Chordata; Mammalia; Carnivora; Canidae.
AAUAAUAAUCUAUAAAAAUAUUUAAUUAAAAGAAAACUUACCAUAUUUGGCAUAUAAAUUCUCAGUGAAUGUUUGUAGUGGGUUUUGUAUUGUUUUUCCAUACAUUAUAUCUACCUUUUCUUAAAUCUUCCUGUCUUGGCACCUGUAUUUCUUGUUAAACUUGAGAGUGACAAUGGUGUCUCAGGUCAUAAGAUAAUUUGGAGAAACCACUAGCCAUCUAGAACAAAAAUGUUUUUGAAAUAAAUACAUUUGUGAGGCGGAAUCAAGAUAAAUAUAAACGGCAAUUAUCUGAGAAAUAAUUAUAAUAAAUAUUAAUUCAUCAUCACUUCCAUGCUGCAGUGAAAAUUGUGUGGAACAUUAGGAAAUCAGUCAUAAUGAAAUAAAGUUGGUUUCAGUCUCCAAAAGCCAUGUGAUCCUGCACCACAAAAUAACACAGUCAUUAUAUAUGAAUAAUCCAGAUAAAUGAGUCAUUUGGGAAUGCCAAAAUUGGAUUCCGAAUGGUGAUAUGGCCAGCAGAAGAAGCAUUUGGAAAAAUGAGCUAAUCAGACUACAAGAUAUUUUGCUAUUGUCUGGCCACAAUCCUUCUCUCCUUUCUCAGAGAAUCAGGACUAAAUAUUAUUAAGAGUUCCUAAUAGCAUCUGGAUCUACUUUUUGGAAUAUAGAUAAUUAGAUCAUCCGUAAAUUAUCACAAAUAAGUCUUACCUUAUAAACCCAAUUAAAACUGACAGAUAAGUGUAAGUGUAGCCCCUAGAUUAUAAUUACGGAAAUAGAGCAUAAUUUUAUUUGUUCUAAGACCUGAUCAUUUACAUGCCUCAUGUAGAGAUCGUAGGGGUUGGGAAGAUAUCCCUUAGACUACAGACAUUUCUCAAUUAUAAAACUAUUUUCAUGAUUUUCAUUAAAAUAUCCUUUAAACCAAUACUAGUCCCUUAAAUAUCCUGCAUUAUUAAUAAAGUGUGUUUCUGUACCAUGCAUUUGCAUGCGCAUGCCAGGAAAGGCUAUGUACCAAGAUAAAAAUAAAGCAUUUCUCUCCUACCAAAAUUUUAUGUCUAGAGACAUUUUAAUUCUUUUAAUCCUGUAAAUCCAACUUUGACCCUUUGUCCAUUAUUUUGUGUACAAAUCUGCAUUUCAUAGGCCAAAUAAAUGUUUCCCUUAAACUCCAAGAAAAAAAUGAGUUUAUAUGUCACUUAUAUUGAAUGAUGUAUGUUUAAACUAUGACACUUAAAUAAUAAUAAUAAUAAUAAUAAUAAUAAUAAUAUAAUAAAAAAACAGAAAUCAAUUGUGUAGACAGCUUAUAUCCAAUCAGCAUAUCAGGAGGAAUUGAGAGACAGGAGUAAAUCCUGAGUGCCUAAGAAGGACUGAGAUGAUCUGUGCUCAGGUAGCAUUAAUCUACACUGUUCAAUCAGUAAACAUCUAACUAUUCUGAAAAAAAUCUUAAAGGUUACAUGUUAUUCUGGCCCUGCUGCCUGGCAAGAGUUGGAAUAGAGUCCAGGGAAAAAGAUUUCUCUCUGAUCCUUCACCAUUAGGUAACUAAAACUUGGUAAGAAUUGAGGUCUCUUAUCCUCUAUUUCAGUUUUCAUUCCAUUUAUAAUUUAACUUAAAAAUACUGAUUAAAAUUAGCUACACUCAUAAAAAUUUUGACUUUUUCUUCAUUUAUACCCAUGAGGUCUUUCCCCUGUAUACAGCCUUCUUCAUAUUUAUUUAUAUUGUAAUCAA